GGGGGUGACUGGUUUCGACUUGAGUUGUCAACGUAUAGGCGGCAUGCCGGGGAUGCUUGGUCGGCCCCGUUAACAAUCCAAGCAACACAUAAACGCAAACACGUUAAUGUACAGCGAUGCUGAAUUGGCAUUUGCUUCUUCGGAAGCUCCUGCUGAAACAGCAUUACAAGUCGUUGCUUAAUUAAGCAACGCCCUCUUAAGGGAGAUGCCUGCGAUUCUUUGAGAGGACCUUAGCAGGCUGGUUUUAAGCGUUGCCUUAACGUUUAAGAUGAGAUCUUAAAGGAUGGUUCGAUCAAAUCCUGGGCGUUGGAGUUGAUCGGAUGACAUGAAUAAACGUCCUAAGCAUGUAGAAGCUUAUAUCGCGUAACCCAAGGACGGCGGUUCGAUUCCGCCCACCUCCACCA
Molecule: transfer-messenger RNA, 404 nt
Filed under: Candidatus Omnitrophota bacterium
Lineage: Bacteria; Pseudomonadati; Candidatus Omnitrophota
Rfam family: transfer-messenger RNA
About the family: Bacterial tmRNA, also known as 10Sa RNA or SsrA, is named for its dual tRNA and mRNA-like properties. Its role is to liberate the mRNA from a stalled ribosome. To accomplish this part of the tmRNA is used as a reading frame that ends in a translation stop signal.
Source: RNAcentral